ACAUACGACUAUAUCCACUAGAGAACUCGGGAUCCCGUCCGCUUUCCCAUCGAUAAACCAGUGAGGGCUGAACUAGUAGUUAGUCGGUGACGAGCAGCGAAUCCUUGGUAUUGUAUGUU
RNAcentral lists this ribosomal RNA (119 nucleotides) under Scedosporium apiospermum. The record is from RNAcentral. Lineage: Eukaryota; Fungi; Ascomycota; Sordariomycetes; Microascales; Microascaceae.